Long non-coding RNA from Gigantopelta aegis, 564 nucleotides. RefSeq lists it as uncharacterized. NCBI's taxonomy places the organism in Eukaryota, Metazoa, Mollusca, Gastropoda, Neomphalida, Peltospiridae. The record is from RefSeq and is a predicted model, not a curated record. The transcript is spliced from 3 exons.
CGGUGCCAAGUUUCAAGUCAGAUAGGGGAAUUCCAGAACUGAUUGGCAUAUGACUGGUGGAUCCACAUUGCCAUGCUCCACACUUGCUGUCAGAGCCACAUACACGGAAACCUGCAGUGUCUUCAAGAUAAUCAUCCCCAUGUGGGACUUGGGAGACAUACCCAUCAUUUCAAGCAUGCUGUUCUGGCCACACACAUUGCAAUGAAGACAACAUGAAGUUAGCAGAUGUGAAAACUGAAUGGGAUUCGGAACAUAUCCCUCCAUCAUCAGUGACUGCCAUACAUACAACAGUCAGCCAGCUUCAUGUACACCACGGCAAACAACCAACUAUGAAAUAAGGCUGUACUCUCUCAGAUGGCUUUCCAGAGCAUCCCAUCUGCAAGGAAAAAUAAUAUCAUUUGGGCUCUUUUACAUGGCACAUAAAUAAUGUUGAGUAAUACGUUUAUAGUCUAUGGAAGAUUGCAGCAUUGCUGUCAGGCUUUUUAUCACUGUCAAGUGUGUGUGCACCCCUUUUAAGAAAGGAAAAACCAACACAGAAACAAACUGUGGUGCAUGGUUGUUUCA